RNAcentral lists this ribosomal RNA (446 nucleotides) under uncultured bacterium. RNAcentral describes it as "partial 16S ribosomal RNA". It matches the Rfam family "Bacterial small subunit ribosomal RNA", at positions 338 to 795 of the family's 1533-position model. The record is from RNAcentral.
CCUACGGGUGGCAGCAGUCGAGAAUCAUUCACAAUGGGGGAAACCCUGAUGGUGCGACGCCGCGUGGGGGAAUGAAGGUCUUCGGAUUGUAAACCCCUGUCAUGUGGGAGCAAAUUAAAAAGAUAGUACCACAAGAGGAAGAGACGGCUAACUCUGUGCCAGCAGCCGCGGUAAUACAGAGGUCUCAAGCGUUGUUCGGAAUCACUGGGCGUAAAGCGUGCGUAGGCUGUUUCGUAAGUCGUGUGUGAAAGGCGCGGGCUCAACCCGCGGAAGGCACAUGAUACUGCGAGACUAGAGUAAUGGAGAGGGAACCGGAAUUCUCGGUGUAGCAGUGAAAUGCGUAGAUAUCGAGAGGAACACUCGUGGCGAAGGCGGGUUACUGGACAUUAACUGACGCUGAGGCACGAAGGCCAGGGGAGCGAAAGGGAUUAGAUACCCCUGUAGUC